GACGAACGCUGGCGGCGUGCUUAACACAUGCAAGUCGAACGAAGAGCGAUGGAAGCUUGCUUCUAUCAAUCUUAGUGGCGAACGGGAGAGUAACGCGUAAUCAACCUGCCCUUCAGAGGGGGACAACAGUUGGAAACUACUGCUAAUACCGCAUACGAUCUAAUCUCGGCAUCGAGGAUAGAUGAAAGGUGGCCUCUACAUGUAAGCUAUCACUGAAGGAGGGGAUUGCGUCUGAUUAGCUAGAUGGAGGGGUAACGGCCCAACAAGGCGAUGAUCAGUAGCCGGUCGGAGAGGAUGAACGGCCACAUUGGGACUGAGACACGGCCCAGACUCCUACGGGAGGCAGCAGUGGGGAAUCUUCCGCCAUGGGUGAAAGUCUGACGGAGCAACGCCGCGUGAGUGAUGACGGCCUUCGGGUUGUAAAGCUCUGUUAAUCGGGACGAAAGGCCUUCUUGCGAAUAGUGAGAAGGAUUGACGGUACCGGAAUAGAAAGCCACGGCUAACUACGUG
RNAcentral lists this ribosomal RNA (510 nucleotides) under uncultured bacterium. RNAcentral describes it as "partial 16S ribosomal RNA". It matches the Rfam family "Bacterial small subunit ribosomal RNA", at positions 28 to 507 of the family's 1533-position model. The record is from RNAcentral.